Molecule: unclassified non-coding RNA, 296 nt
Filed under: Hevea brasiliensis (rubber tree)
Lineage: Eukaryota; Viridiplantae; Streptophyta; Magnoliopsida; Malpighiales; Euphorbiaceae
Source: RNAcentral
GUCUUUCUCAAUCCAACUAACAAGUCCAUGUUAUGUUUACUUUGAUCUGCCUGUAUAUUAUGGUAAGGAAAUCAAAGGGAAGUUGAGUUAUGGUGCUGUGCAUGAUGUUUCAGGGAUUCAAGCAAAAAAGCUGUUUAUUUGGUUAUCGGUUAGUGGAAUUGAGGCGGAUAAGGAUGAUGGUAUGAUUGAGUUCUUCGUUGGUUCUUUGUCUGAAAAGUUGCCUGCUAAGCAGUUUGAGGAUAUCCCCGCUUGUAAGAGUAAGGCUAGUCUAAGGACUAACCUGGAAUCCAUGUGAG